RNAcentral lists this transfer RNA (77 nucleotides) under Acidithiobacillus thiooxidans. RNAcentral's name for it is "tRNA-Arg". It matches the Rfam family "tRNA". Rfam says of the family: Transfer RNA (tRNA) molecules are approximately 80 nucleotides in length. Their secondary structure includes four short double-helical elements and three loops (D, anti-codon, and T loops). Further hydrogen bonds mediate the characteristic L-shaped molecular structure. tRNAs have two regions of fundamental functional importance: the anti-codon, which is responsible for specific mRNA codon recognition, and the 3' end, to which the tRNAs corresponding amino acid is attached (by aminoacyl-tRNA synthetases). tRNAs cope with the degeneracy of the genetic code in two manners: having more than one tRNA (with a specific anti-codon) for a particular amino acid; and 'wobble' base-pairing, i.e. permitting non-standard base-pairing at the 3rd anti-codon position. RNAcentral also lists the same sequence under 1 other name. The record is from RNAcentral. Lineage: Bacteria; Pseudomonadati; Pseudomonadota; Acidithiobacillia; Acidithiobacillales; Acidithiobacillaceae.
GCCCCUUUAGCUCAGUGGAUCAGAGCAUUCGGCUUCGGACCGAAGGGUCGGGGGUUCGAAUCCCUCAAGGGGCACCA